UCAGGUGAAGCUCAGUGUUAGAGCACUUGCCUGGCAUGCAUGAGGCCCUAGGUUCCACCCAGAACCUCAA
RNAcentral lists this transfer RNA (70 nucleotides) under Cavia porcellus (domestic guinea pig). It matches the Rfam family "tRNA". From Rfam's summary of the family: Transfer RNA (tRNA) molecules are approximately 80 nucleotides in length. Their secondary structure includes four short double-helical elements and three loops (D, anti-codon, and T loops). The record is from Rfam by way of RNAcentral. Lineage: Eukaryota; Metazoa; Chordata; Mammalia; Rodentia; Caviidae.